RNA transcript from Vitis riparia (riverbank grape), 2156 nucleotides. It is a transcript of the gene named small ribosomal subunit biogenesis GTPase RsgA 1, mitochondrial, with no coding region annotated. The record is from RefSeq and is a predicted model, not a curated record. The transcript has 6 exons. NCBI's taxonomy places the organism in Eukaryota, Viridiplantae, Streptophyta, Magnoliopsida, Vitales, Vitaceae.
AGCCACUGUCACUGGGAAAGAAACGGAUAGACCUCAAAGCUCAUGAGAAUAGGAAUCGAAUUCAAUUAAUUUCCCUAAUUCCUAACCCUAACUGUGAAAAUCAUCUCGAUGCCGAUCGCCUCUACCUCAAUCUUCCGCUACAGCAAUCCUUCCUCACUCCUCCUCCUCCGCCGUGGCGCUGCUGCCUCUUUCCGCCACCUCUCCUUUGUCGCCAAACACCAAAACCCCAUCUCCAGAAAACCUCAAAACAAGAAUCUCCUCCGAGCAAAACAGACAGUCAAGCACCUCUCCUCCCUCUCGCCGACGCUCCCGGUGAACCAUCGCCCCCUCCUGUCCGCCACUGAUGCCGUCGGCAUGGUUGCUGCUGCCCAAGCAAACUUCAUGCGAGUCAUAGUCGAAGAUUCUAGAGUCGCAGACGGCGGCGGCGACGGAGAUGGCGAUGGCGAUGCCGUCAGGGUUGGGGUUGAGCUGCUGUGUGUGGUGAGAGCCGUGUUGAAGAAGAUCAAGAGGAGGGUUUUGGUGGGAGAUAAGGUGUUGGUUGGAUCGAUAGAUUGGGUGGAUCGCCGGGGCGUGAUUGAGAAUGUGUUCUCGAGGAAAUCGGAGAUUCUGGACCCUCCAGUGGCCAAUGUGGAUCACCUGUUGGUGCUUUUCGCGAUGGAGCAGCCAAAAUUGGAGGUGUAUUCGCUUACUCGGUUUUUGGUGGAGGCUGAGUCCACUGGGAUUCCGAUCACACUCGCAUUGAACAAAUCGGAACUCGUCGACGAAGAGACACGAGUUGCUUGGAAAUCAAGGCUCCGAAGUUGGGGCUAUGGGCCAGUUUUUUGCAGUGUUGAAUCCAAGUUUGGACUUGAUACUCUUGCAUUCAGCUUGAGAGAACAAACAACUGUGAUUGUAGGUCCAAGUGGAGUAGGGAAGUCUAGUCUCAUAAAUGCUUUGAGAAGCAACCACCCUCUUAUUAAUGUUUCUUCUGAAGAGAACAAUUGGUUUGAUUCUAUUUUAGGGAGCAAAUUGUUAGAAGAACAGCGUGUUGGGGAAGUGUCAGUAAGAAGUGGGAGAGGGAAGCACACUACUCGCCAUGUAUCCUUACUUCCGCUAUCUGGAGGGGGAUAUCUUGCUGAUACUCCUGGGUUUAACCAACCAAGCUUGCUGAAAGUAACAACUCAAUCUCUUGCACAGACUUUCCCAGAGAUCAGGAAAUUGCUCAGUGCUAAUGAACCUGAAAAAUGCUCAUUCAAUGAUUGCUUGCAUCUUGGUGAGCCAGGGUGCGUUGUGAAAGGAGAUUGGGAAAGAUAUCCAUACUAUUUUCAACUGCUUGAUGAGAUAAAAAUCAGAGAAGAAUUUCAGUUGAGGACCCUGGGAACCAAAAGAGAGGGUGAUGUGAGGUACAAGACAGGUGAUAUGGGUGUCAAGCAAGCAGAACCACGACUUGAGCCUAAGAAGCACAGAAGACAAUCUCGCAAGAGGAUGAACCAGUCCAUCCUAGACGAGUUGGACGACCUUGAUGAUGAUGAUAGCUUAUUAGAUGCUGAAGGUGACUCGAUUUUAAAUGAAAUAGGCAAUGAAAAUCAGUAGGGAGCAUGCUUGGCUCGUUCAUAUGCUGUGAACAGUUCUUGACCAGCUCUUUUGUUAUAAAUCAUGAAGAGGUCACAAGCACAUGGCUAAAAGUGGAGUUCCAAGUCUUUUCUGCUGCUGUGAAUGUGAAUGUCUAGGAUCACAGUAGCUAACAACUUGAGGCGUGACUCAGAAAAACAAUGUCAAUGUUUUCUGUCAUGCUUGAUCCUUGUGAUGGAGGAACUUUUGUAAGACAUUUUGUGGCCUAUUGGAGUCGAGUGAGAGCAGUGACACCACCUGCGAGAUCAAGGGAGGAUUGAAAAGUUUAUCUUUCACAAGGGUAGGAGCCUUUACUGAUUCAGUCACACCAUCACAGCUACUAUCACUUAAGAAUGUGUAUUCAUCCCAGAGCUCCUGGGCAAAGAAAGUCAAGCAGGAGUGGAUCCUUAUUCAAUUGUAAGUGGUGCUCUUGAGUCUUGAUUCAAUUCCACCAAACCUGAAAACAGUUCCAUAGGAGCUUGCAUUUGAGGACUUCUCUUUGUAUAUGAUGUCACUUCUUUCCCCUGAUUUUAGUACAGUUCUGAGCCUGGGUUCUAUCUCUAAAA